RNAcentral lists this ribosomal RNA (525 nucleotides) under uncultured Glomeromycotina. Its description in RNAcentral is "SSU rRNA". It matches the Rfam family "Eukaryotic small subunit ribosomal RNA", at positions 569 to 1099 of the family's 1831-position model. Lineage: Eukaryota; Fungi; Glomeromycota. The record is from RNAcentral.
AGCAGCCGCGGUGAUUCCAGCUCCAAUAGCGUAUAUUAAAGUUGUUGCAGUUAAAAGCUCGUAGUUGAAUUUCGGGGUCAGUAGGUUGGUCAUGCCACUGGUAUGUACUGGUCUCACUGAUUCCUCCUUCCUGAUGAGCCGUAAUGCCAUUAAUUUGGUGUUGCGGGGAAUCUGGACUGUUACUUUGAAAAAUUAGAGUGUUUAAAGCAGGCUAACGCCUGAAUACAUUAGCAUGGAAUAAUGAAAUAGGACGUUCGAUCCUAUUUUGUUGGUUUCUAGGAUUGACGUAAUGAUUAAUAGGGAUAGUUGGGGGCAUUAGUAUUCAAUUGUCAGAGGUGAAAUUCUUGGAUUUAUUGAAGACUAACUACUGCGAAAGCAUUUGCCAAGGAUGUUUUCAUUAAUCAAGAACGAAAGUCAGAGGUUCGAAGACGAUCAGAUUACCGUCGUAGUUCUGACCAUAAACGAUGUCGACUAGCGAUCCGCGGUCGUUGUUCAUAUGACCUCGCGGGCAGCCUUCGGGAAACC